GGGCGCACGGUGGAUGCCUUGACACUAGGAGUCGAUGAAGGACGGGACUAACGCCGAUAUGCUUCGGGGAGCUGUAAGUAAGCUUUGAUCCGAAGAUUUCCGAAUGGGGAAACCCACCAUACGUAAUGGUAUGGUAUCCUUAUCUGAAUACAUAGGGUAAGGAAGACAGACCCAGGGAACUGAAACAUCUAAGUACCUGGAGGAAGAGAAAGCAAAUGCGAUUUCCUGAGUAGCGGCGAGCGAAACGGAACAUAGCCCAAACCAAGAGGCUUGCCUCUUGGGGUUGUAGGACAUUCUAUACGGAGUUACAAAGGAACGAGGUAGACGAAGCGACCUGGAAAGGUCCGUCGUAGAGGGUAACAACCCCGUAGUCGAAACUUCGUUCUCUCUUGAAUGUAUCCUGAGUACGGCGGAACACGUGAAAUUCCGUCGGAAUCUGGGAGGGCCAUCUCCCAAGGCUAAAUACUCCCUAGUGAUCGAUAGUGAACCAGUACCGUGAGGGAAAGGUGAAAAGCACCCCGGAAGGGGAGUGAAAGAGAUCCUGAAACCGUGUGCCUACAAAUAGUCAGAGCCCGUUAAUGGGUGAUGGCGUGCCUUUUGUAGAAUGAACCGGCGAGUUACGAUCCCGUGCGAGGUUAAGCUGAAGAGGCGGAGCCGCAGCGAAAGCGAGUCUGAAUAGGGCGUUUAGUACGUGGUCGUAGACCCGAAACCAGGUGAUCUACCCAUGUCCAGGGUGAAGUUCAGGUAACACUGAAUGGAGGCCCGAACCCACGCACGUUGAAAAGUGCGGGGAUGAGGUGUGGGUAGCGGAGAAAUUCCAAUCGAACCUGGAGAUAGCUGGUUCUCCCCGAAAUAGCUUUAGGGCUAGCCUUAAGUGUAAGAGUCUUGGAGGUAGAGCACUGAUUGGACUAGGGGUCCUCAUCGGAUUACCGAAUUCAGUCAAACUCCGAAUGCCAAUGACUUAUCCUUAGGAGUCAGACUGCGAGUGAUAAGAUCCGUAGUCAAAAGGGAAACAGCCCAGACCGCCAGCUAAGGUCCCAAAGUGUGUAUUAAGUGGAAAAGGAUGUGGAGUUGCUUAGACAACUAGGAUGUUGGCUUAGAAGCAGCCACCAUUUAAAGAGUGCGUAAUAGCUCACUAGUCGAGUGACUCUGCGCCGAAAAUGUACCGGGGCUAAAUACACCACCGAAGCUGCGGAUUGAUACCAAUGGUAUCAGUGGUAGGGGAGCGUUCUAAGGACAGUGAAGUCAGACCGGAAGGACUGGUGGAGUGCUUAGAAGUGAGAAUGCCGGUAUGAGUAGCGAAAGACGGGUGAGAAUCCCGUCCACCGAAUGCCUAAGGUUUCCUGAGGAAGGCUCGUCCGCUCAGGGUUAGUCAGGACCUAAGCCGAGGCCGACAGGCGUAGGCGAUGGACAACAGGUUGAUAUUCCUGUACCACCUCUUUAUCGUUUGAGCAAUGGAGGGACGCAGAAGGAUAGAAGAAGCGUGCGAUUGGUUGUGCACGUCCAAGCAGUUAGGCUGAUAAGUAGGCAAAUCCGCUUAUCGUGAAGGCUGAGCUGUGAUGGGGAAGCUCCUUAUGGAGCGAAGUCUUUGAUUCCCCGCUGCCAAGAAAAGCUUCUAGCGAGAUAAAAGGUGCCUGUACCGCAAACCGACACAGGUAGGCGAGGAGAGAAUCCUAAGGUGUGCGAGAGAACUCUGGUUAAGGAACUCGGCAAAAUGACCCCGUAACUUCGGGAGAAGGGGUGCUUUCUUAACGGAAAGCCGCAGUGAAUAGGCCCAAGCGACUGUUUAGCAAAAACACAGCUCUCUGCGAAGCCGUAAGGCGAAGUAUAGGGGGUGACACCUGCCCGGUGCUGGAAGGUUAAGGAGAGGGGUUAGCGUAAGCGAAGCUCUGAACUGAAGCCCCAGUAAACGGCGGCCGUAACUAUAACGGUCCUAAGGUAGCGAAAUUCCUUGUCGGGUAAGUUCCGACCCGCACGAAAGGUGUAACGAUUUGGGCACUGUCUCAACCAGAGACUCGGUGAAAUUAUAGUACCUGUGAAGAUGCAGGUUACCCGCGACAGGACGGAAAGACCCCGUGGAGCUUUACUGUAGCCUGAUAUUGAAUUUUGGUACAGUUUGUACAGGAUAGGCGGGAGCCUUUGAAACCGGAGCGCUAGCUUCGGUGGAGGCGCUGGUGGGAUACCGCCCUGACUGUAUUGAAAUUCUAACCUACGGGUCUUAUCGACCCGGGAGACAGUGUCAGGUGGGCAGUUUGACUGGGGCGGUCGCCUCCUAAAGUGUAACGGAGGCGCCCAAAGGUUCCCUCAGAAUGGUUGGAAAUCAUUCGUAGAGUGCAAAGGCAUAAGGGAGCUUGACUGCGAGACCUACAAGUCGAGCAGGGACGAAAGUCGGGCUUAGUGAUCCGGUGGUUCCGCAUGGAAGGGCCAUCGCUCAACGGAUAAAAGCUACCCCGGGGAUAACAGGCUUAUCUCCCCCAAGAGUCCACAUCGACGGGGAGGUUUGGCACCUCGAUGUCGGCUCAUCGCAUCCUGGGGCUGUAGUCGGUCCCAAGGGUUGGGCUGUUCGCCCAUUAAAGCGGUACGCGAGCUGGGUUCAGAACGUCGUGAGACAGUUCGGUCCCUAUCCGUCGUGGGCGUAGGAAAUUUGAGAGGAGCUGUCCUUAGUACGAGAGGACCGGGAUGGACGCACCGCUGGUGUACCAGUUGUUCUGCCAAGGGCAUAGCUGGGUAGCUAUGUGCGGAAGGGAUAAGUGCUGAAAGCAUCUAAGCAUGAAGCCCCCCUCAAGAUGAGAUUUCCCAUAGCGUAAGCUAGUAAGAUCCCUGAAAGAUGAUCAGGUUGAUAGGUUCGAGGUGGAAGCAUGGUGACAUGUGGAGCUGACGAAUACUAAUAGAUCGAGGACUUAACCAU
This 2908-nucleotide ribosomal RNA is filed under the name Bacillus anthracis str. A0465. RNAcentral's name for it is "bacterial LSU rRNA". It matches the Rfam family "Bacterial large subunit ribosomal RNA". The record is from RNAcentral. Lineage: Bacteria; Bacillati; Bacillota; Bacilli; Caryophanales; Bacillaceae.